UUUGAUCCUGGCUCAGGACGAACGCUGGCGGCGUGCCUAAUACAUGCAAGUCGAGCGGACAGAUGGGAGCUUGCUCCCUGAUGUUAGCGGCGGACGGGUGAGUAACACGUGGGUAACCUGCCUGUAAGACUGGGAUAACUUCGGGAAACCGGGGCUAAUACCGGAUGCUUGAUUGAACCGCAUGGUUCAAUUAUAAAAGGUGGCUUUUAGCUACCACUUACAGAUGGACCCGCGGCGCAUUAGCUAGUUGGUGAGGUAACGGCUCACCAAGGCAACGAUGCGUAGCCGACCUGAGAGGGUGAUCGGCCACACUGGGACUGAGACACGGCCCAGACUCCUACGGGAGGCAGCAGUAGGGAAUCUUCCGCAAUGGACGAAAGUCUGACGGAGCAACGCCGCGUGAGUGAUGAAGGUUUUCGGAUCGUAAAACUCUGUUGUUAGGGAAGAACAAGUACCGUUCGAAUAGGGCGGUACCUUGACGGUACCUAACCAGAAAGCCACGGCUAACUACGUGCCAGCAGCCGCGGUAAUACGUAGGUGGCAAGCGUUGUCCGGAAUUAUUGGGCGUAAAGCGCGCGCAGGCGGUUUCUUAAGUCUGAUGUGAAAGCCCCCGGCUCAACCGGGGGAGGGUUCAUUGGAAACUGGGGAACUUGAGUGCAGAAGAGGGAGAGUGGAAUUCCACGUGUAGCGGUGAAAUGCCGUAGAGAUGUGGAGGAACACCAGUGGCGAAAGGCGACUCUCUGGUCUGUAACUGACGCUGGAGGCGCGAAAGCCGUUGGGGAGCGAACAGGAUUUAGAUACCCCUGGUUAGU
RNAcentral lists this ribosomal RNA (812 nucleotides) under Bacillus subtilis. Its description in RNAcentral is "bacterial SSU rRNA". It matches the Rfam family "Bacterial small subunit ribosomal RNA", at positions 12 to 794 of the family's 1533-position model. The record is from RNAcentral. Lineage: Bacteria; Bacillati; Bacillota; Bacilli; Caryophanales; Bacillaceae.